CACAGGUCCCAGAGCGGAGUUCCACUGUGCCAAGGGGCCGAUUUCUGGAGAUAUGGUGGUCCGUAGGGAGUAAUCAAGAGGACCAAUGACAAGAAGAUGAUCCAGGUGGAAUAUGAACCAUGGCUGGGGCCAGCUGGAUAUAAAGGGUCACCUGAAUCUGUGCUUACACACACCCAUCAGGAGGGUACAAUCCUGCUGGUUCACUGCAUCACAGCCAGAACUAGCAGGUGCUGUAGAAAGUGGUCUCUCUCUCAAUCUAAGACAGUCCAAAAUGAUAAAUAUGGAAAUAAUGAAGACAUGGGAAAAUGAACUACUACUAAACAUCCCCAUUUGCUUAUCCUGUGAAAAAUAAAUAAGGACACCUGGCUGGGAUUUUUGUUGUAGGAAUGUGUUCCUAAUUAGCUAGGCUGUAUUGUCAGACUCCUCAAUAAUGUGCCUGAGGAAAGUAUCAGCACUCCAAAAAUGUCAACAGAAAGAAGAAGAGAAUUCUAAGAACAAUUCUGAGCCAUUCUACCGGUUCUACUAGAAACCAUCAAAGGUGAGGAGAACAUUUAGAAUAUUCAGAUUUAUUAAUCCCAGAGGGUUUUUUUCUAAAUUGUGUUGCUAAUACAUAUACAUGCAUAUGUAUGUAUAAAACAUGAUACCUACAGGGUGUGUGACCCUAAGCAUGUGACUUAACCUCUUAAUGCCCUAGCCAACUGCCUAAGACUAUUUAAAAUUGAAAAGAAUGUUCUGAUCUGUAUUGAUAGAAAUUCCUUGCUGAAAGCUAGCUAUACCCAUUAAAUCAUAGGUCUGGUCAGAAAAAUAAUUAAAUGGAAUAUUAAUACAAUACAACCUCAAUUAUUUUAUAUUUUGUAGAUCACAUUCUAUUUCCUUAAACUUCUCAGUUUUGCUGGAAGAUAGAUUAUGCAUAGCAGUUUUUGGAUAGAGAGGAUCACAGAAGAAAAAAUGAAUAAUUUUGAUUACAGUAAAGUUUUUGGGUUUUUUUUUAAUACAAACUGGUACAGCUAAGAUUAAAAAAGGAAACAGUUAACUGGGGGGGAAUCUUUAGAGCAAGUUUCUUUGAGAAAGGUCCCAUUUCCAAGAUAUAUUAGGAACUGAUUCAAAUUUGUAGGAAUAAGAGCCAUUCUCCAAUUGAUAGAUGGCCAAAGGAUAUGGACAGGUAGGUCUAAAGGGAAGAAGCCCAGACUAUAACCAUAUGAAAAAAAGAAAUGCUCCAAAACGCUAAAAAUUAGAGAAAUGCAAAUUAAAGCAAUUCUUCUGUUCCAUUUUACACCCGUCCGUCUGGCAAAGAUGAUAAAAAGAAAAAUGAAAAAAGUGACAAAUAUUGGAGGGAAUUUGAGAAAACAGGC
This 1352-nucleotide long non-coding RNA is filed under the name Phascolarctos cinereus (koala). RNAcentral describes it as "lncRNA (ENSPCIG00000002972.2)". Lineage: Eukaryota; Metazoa; Chordata; Mammalia; Diprotodontia; Phascolarctidae. The record is from RNAcentral.